RNAcentral lists this ribosomal RNA (481 nucleotides) under uncultured bacterium. RNAcentral's name for it is "partial 16S ribosomal RNA". It matches the Rfam family "Bacterial small subunit ribosomal RNA", at positions 355 to 852 of the family's 1533-position model. The record is from RNAcentral.
UGGGGAAUAUUGCACAAUGGGCGAAAGCCUGAUGCAGCAACGCCGCGUGAGUGAUGAAGGUCUUCGGAUUGUAAAGCUCUGUCUUUUGGGACGAUAAUGACGGUACCAAAGGAGGAAGCCACGGCUAACUACGUGCCAGCAGCCGCGGUAAUACGUAGGUGGCGAGCGUUGUCCGGAUUUACUGGGCGUAAAGGGUGCGUAGGCGGAUGUUUAAGUGAGAUGUGAAAUACCCGGGCUUAACUUGGGUGCUGCAUUUCAAACUGGAUAUCUAGAGUGCAGGAGAGGAGAAUGGAAUUCCUAGUGUAGCGGUGAAAUGCGUAGAGAUUAGGAAGAGCACCAGUGGCGAAGGCGAUUCUCUGGACUGUAACUGACGCUGAGGCACGAAAGCGUGGGUAGCAAACAGGAUUAGAUACCCUGGUAGUCCACGCCGUAAACGAUGAGUACUAGGUGUAGGAGGUAUCGACCCCUUCUGUGCCGCAGU